This 143-nucleotide microRNA precursor is filed under the name Prunus dulcis (almond). Its description in RNAcentral is "sRNA ncRNA". The record is from RNAcentral. Lineage: Eukaryota; Viridiplantae; Streptophyta; Magnoliopsida; Rosales; Rosaceae.
AGAUUGAGAGGGAAGAUGAAAGGGGAGGAGUAAUAAAAGUGAAAACAAAAACUAAAAACUGAAAUAUAUUUGAAAUUGUUUUCACUUUCAAGUUUUUGUUUCACUUUUAUUACCUCUCCCUCCCAUCCUCCCCUCCAGUACUC